This is a ribosomal RNA of Otolemur garnettii (small-eared galago), 130 nucleotides long. Lineage: Eukaryota; Metazoa; Chordata; Mammalia; Primates; Galagidae. The record is from Ensembl.
GUCUAUGGCCAAUACCACCCUGAACAUACCCAAUCUCAUCUGAUCUCAGGAGAUAAACAGGAUUGGGCCUCACUAGUUAUUUGGACGGCAAACCACCUGGGGAUAUCAGGUAUAUCAGGUGCUGUAGGCU